AAAAACUUAGUUAAAUUAAUAACAUUAGAUUGUCAAACUAAAAUUGUCUAUUAGACAGUUUUUA
RNAcentral lists this transfer RNA (64 nucleotides) under Philonthus lomatus. RNAcentral's name for it is "tRNA-Asp". Lineage: Eukaryota; Metazoa; Arthropoda; Insecta; Coleoptera; Staphylinidae. The record is from RNAcentral.